UACGGAGGAUCCAAGCGUUAUCCGGAUUCAUUGGGUUUAAAGGGUGCGUAGGCGGAACGAUAAGUCAGUGGUGAAAGCCCUCAGCUUAACUGAGGAACUGCCAUUGAUACUGUCGAUCUUGAGUACAUUUGAUGUGGGCGGAAUGUGUCAUGUAGCGGUGAAAUGCUUAGAUAUGACGCAGAACACCGAUUGCGAAGGCAGCUCACAAAACUGUAACUGACGCUGAGGCGCGAAAGCGUGGGUAUCAAACAGG
RNAcentral lists this ribosomal RNA (253 nucleotides) under uncultured bacterium. Its description in RNAcentral is "partial 16S ribosomal RNA". It matches the Rfam family "Bacterial small subunit ribosomal RNA", at positions 524 to 776 of the family's 1533-position model. The record is from RNAcentral.